GCUCGUUGAGAUAGCGCCUCGUGUGCACCACCAGCAGGUCCUCCUCUGAGGCCUCCCGAGCCUCCACCAGCAUGCCAUCGGACAGCAGCUUCUCUUCUGGAACCACAGAGCAAAACCCUGCUUCCUUUCCAGUUCUCGAAGCAGGCCCAGCCCCUAGGCCCACCCUCAGGCUGCAGGUUAGCCUCUGGCAGCCCCUCAGCAUACAGUGAACUUGUGGGUAUUCUGAGAAUGGCUGCCUCCUUAGGCCAGUGUGGCCAGUGGUUAGACUCUCUGUCCAAGGGUGUUGAACUUGAAACACACAGCAGUCUCCAUAUUUUCUGUGUUGCUGACAGCCACCAGGUGAACUCAGGUGGCUCAGGAUGGCAUGGCCUUUCUCUGCCUGAGCCUUGCUCAUCUCCCUUGCUAACCAAAGGAGAGCAGUGGCUCACAGGCAGCAGACGCCAGAGCUGAACAACUGCUGUUUUCAGAGUAUUG
This 474-nucleotide long non-coding RNA is filed under the name Mus pahari (shrew mouse). RNAcentral describes it as "predicted gene 14573 (MGP_PahariEiJ_G0002974.1)". Lineage: Eukaryota; Metazoa; Chordata; Mammalia; Rodentia; Muridae. The record is from RNAcentral.